Molecule: ribosomal RNA, 2841 nt
Filed under: Acinetobacter baumannii 25561_10
Lineage: Bacteria; Pseudomonadati; Pseudomonadota; Gammaproteobacteria; Moraxellales; Moraxellaceae
Description: bacterial LSU rRNA
Rfam family: Bacterial large subunit ribosomal RNA
Source: RNAcentral
UCAAGUAAUUAAGUGCAUGUGGUGGAUGCCUUGGCAGUCAGAGGCGAUGAAAGACGUGAUAGCCUGCGAAAAGCUCCGGGGAGGCGGCAAAUAUCCUUUGAUCCGGAGAUGUCUGAAUGGGGGAACCCACCUACUUUAAGGUAGGUAUUGCAACAUGAAUACAUAGUGUUGCAAGGCGAACGAGGGGAAGUGAAACAUCUCAGUACCCUUAGGAAAAGAAAUCAAUUGAGAUUCCCUCAGUAGCGGCGAGCGAACGGGGAUCAGCCCAUUAAGUUAUGUGUGUUUUAGUGGAACGCUCUGGGAAGUGCGAACGUAGAGGGUGAUAUUCCCGUACACGAAAGGGCACACAUAAUGAUGACGAGUAGGGCGAGGCACGUGAAACCUUGUCUGAAUAUGGGGGGACCAUCCUCCAAGGCUAAAUACUCCUGACUGACCGAUAGUGAACCAGUACCGUGAGGGAAAGGCGAAAAGAACCCCUGUGAGGGGAGUGAAAUAGAUCCUGAAACCGCAUGCAUACAAGCAGUGGGAGCACCUUCGUGGUGUGACUGCGUACCUUUUGUAUAAUGGGUCAGCGACUUAUAUUCAGUAGCGAGGUUAACCGUAUAGGGGAGCCGUAGAGAAAUCGAGUCUUAAUAGGGCGUUUAGUUGCUGGGUAUAGACCCGAAACCAGGCGAUCUAUCCAUGAGCAGGUUGAAGGUUGGGUAACACUAACUGGAGGACCGAACCCACUGUCGUUGAAAAGCCAGGGGAUGACUUGUGGAUAGGGGUGAAAGGCUAAUCAAGCCUGGUGAUAGCUGGUUCUCCCCGAAAGCUAUUUAGGUAGCGCCUCGGACGAAUACCAUAGGGGGUAGAGCACUGUUUCGGCUAGGGGGUCAUCCCGACUUACCAAACCGAUGCAAACUCCGAAUACCUAUGAGUACUAUCCGGGAGACAGACUGCGGGUGCUAACGUCCGUAGUCAAGAGGAAAACAAUCCAGACCGCCAGCUAAGGCCCCAAAAUCAUAGUUAAGUGGGAAACGAUGUGGGAAGGCAUAGACAGCUAGGAGGUUGGCUUAGAAGCAGCCACCCUUUAAAGAAAGCGUAAUAGCUCACUAGUCGAGUCGGCCUGCGCGGAAGAUGUAACGGGGCUAAAACUAUGUGCCGAAGCUGCGGAUGUAUACUUUGUAUACGUGGUAGGGGAGCGUUCUGUAAGCCGAUGAAGGUGUGUUGAGAAGCAUGCUGGAGGUAUCAGAAGUGCGAAUGCUGACGUGAGUAACGACAAAACGGGUGAAAAACCCGUUCGCCGAAAGACCAAGGGUUCCAGUCCAACGUUAAUCGGGGCUGGGUGAGUCGACCCCUAAGGCGAGGCCGAAAGGCGUAGUCGAUGGGAAAAUGGUUAAUAUUCCAUUACUUCUGUGUAAUGCGAUGAGAGGACGGAGAAGGCUAAAUCAGCCUGGCGUUGGUUGUCCAGGUGAAAGGAUGUAGGCAUGUAUCUUAGGCAAAUCCGGGGUACUCUAUGCUGAGAUCUGAUAGCAAGCUGUACUUGUACAGCGAAGUGGUUGAUGCCAUGCUUCCAGGAAAAGUCUCUAAGCUUCAGUUACACAGGAAUCGUACCCGAAACCGACACAGGUGGUCAGGUCGAGUAGACCAAGGCGCUUGAGAGAACUCUGCUGAAGGAACUAGGCAAAAUGGUACCGUAACUUCGGGAGAAGGUACGCUGUUGUUGGUGAUGGAACUCGCUUCCUGAGCUGACGACAGCCGCAGAAACCAGGCCGCUGCAACUGUUUAUUAAAAACAUAGCACUCUGCAAACACGAAAGUGGACGUAUAGGGUGUGAUGCCUGCCCGGUGCUGGAAGGUUAAUUGAUGGGGUUAGCGUAAGCGAAGCUCUUGAUCGAAGCCCCAGUAAACGGCGGCCGUAACUAUAACGGUCCUAAGGUAGCGAAAUUCCUUGUCGGGUAAGUUCCGACCUGCACGAAUGGCAUAAUGAUGGCGGCGCUGUCUCCAGCAGAGGCUCAGUGAAAUCGAAAUCGCUGUGAAGAUGCAGUGUACCCGCGGCUAGACGGAAAGACCCCGUGAACCUUUACUGCAGCUUGACACUGAACUUUGACCUUACUUGUGUAGGAUAGGUGGGAGGCUUUGAAGCUGGAACGCUAGUUCCAGUGGAGCCGUCCUUGAAAUACCACCCUGGUAAUGUUGAGGUUCUAACUCUGUCCCGUGAUCCGGGACGAGGACCGUGUCUGGUGGGUAGUUUGACUGGGGCGGUCUCCUCCUAAAGAGUAACGGAGGAGUACGAAGGUGCGCUCAGCGUGGUCGGAAAUCACGCGUAGAGUAUAAAGGCAAAAGCGCGCUUAACUGCGAGACCCACAAGUCGAGCAGGUACGAAAGUAGGUCUUAGUGAUCCGGUGGUUCUGUAUGGAAGGGCCAUCGCUCAACGGAUAAAAGGUACUCUGGGGAUAACAGGCUGAUACCGCCCAAGAGUUCAUAUCGACGGCGGUGUUUGGCACCUCGAUGUCGGCUCAUCUCAUCCUGGGGCUGAAGCAGGUCCCAAGGGUAUGGCUGUUCGCCAUUUAAAGAGGUACGCGAGCUGGGUUUAGAACGUCGUGAGACAGUUCGGUCCCUAUCUACCGUGGGCGCUGGAAAUUUGAGAGGAUCUGCUCCUAGUACGAGAGGACCAGAGUGGACGAACCUCUGGUGUACCGGUUGUGACGCCAGUCGCAUCGCCGGGUAGCUAUGUUCGGAAGGGAUAACCGCUGAAAGCAUCUAAGCGGGAAGCCUACCUCAAGAUAAGAUUUCCCUAGGACUUUAUGUCCUCUAAAGAGCCGUUCGAGACUAGGACGUUGAUAGGUUGGAUGUGGAAGCA